Molecule: ribosomal RNA, 499 nt
Filed under: uncultured bacterium
Lineage: Bacteria
Description: partial 16S ribosomal RNA
Rfam family: Bacterial small subunit ribosomal RNA
Source: RNAcentral
GAUGAACGCUGGCGGCGUGCCUAAUACAUGCAAGUCGAGCGAACAGACGAGAGUGCUUGCACUCUCUGACGUUAGCGGCGGACGGGUGAGUAACACGUGGGUAACCUACCUAUAAGACUGGGAUAACUUCGGGAAACCGGAGCUAAUACCGGAUAAUAUUUAGCUUCGCAUGAAGCAAUAGUGAAAGACGGUUCUGCUGUCACUUAUAGAUGGACCCGCGGUGUAUUAGCUAGUUGGUGAGGUAACGGCUCACCAAGGCAACGAUACAUAGCCGACCUGAGAGGGUGAUCGGCCACACUGGGACUGAGACACGGCCCAGACUCCUACGGGAGGCAGCAGUAGGGAAUCUUCCGCAAUGGACGAAAGUCUGACGGAGCAAUGCCGCGUGAGUGAAGAAGGUUUUCGGAUCGUAAAACUCUGUUGUAAGGGAAGAACAAGUACGUUAGUAACUGAACGUACCUUGACGGUACCUCACCAGAAAGCCACGGCUAACUACGUG